Molecule: long non-coding RNA, 798 nt
Organism: Morus notabilis
Lineage: Eukaryota; Viridiplantae; Streptophyta; Magnoliopsida; Rosales; Moraceae
Exons: 4
Source: RefSeq, a predicted model, not a curated record
AAAAAAAAACCAUCCUUUUCCCCAGCUUACAUUCCAUUCUUGAGCCCAACCGAACCGGCUUCUAUUGAUUUCCGUUUCUCGGCGGUUCCUCGGAGAAGGGAAAUUGGGUGGGAGCCGCUAGUUCAUGCAGCGGCAGAGCCUACGCAAGGCGGUGCCGUUCCUCCUUGUCCUUAGUGUCCGCGAGUCGCCCCUGAGGGUGUGGAUUAUCGGUUACGGUCUGCUAUGUGUCCGCCACUCCACGUGUGUCUGCGUCUAUGCCAAGUACCGCAGGCAGAGGAGGGGAGCGGUGGGAGUUUGAGUUGGGUGUCGGGGAGAGUUCUGGGUUGUAUGUGCUCAGAUGGACGACGAGAGUUAUAGCAGUGUAGCAAAGCACCUGGAAUCUGCAAAUACAAUGUUUUCGUUUGCAUGGUGGGUCCUCCGGUUCUACUGGGUAUUUACCGGUGGUCAAGCUUGUGCAAUCCUCCCAUCAGCUUUAGUGGAAGGAGCAUCAAAAAGAAAACAUUGAGCAGUUGUGAAUAUUCAAGAUCAGCACAAUGGGGAGAAAUGAGAAGCUUGCCUGUGAUGCACAAGGACCUUGUGAAGGAGUGAUGACCGAAUGUGGACCAUUGAGCAUGUUCUCUCCCAGGAAGAUGCGAGUGUUGCAUCUGUCUUACUGCUUAAGAAGAUGGCCUGGAACAGAGGCAACUUCCCAGUGGUCGCCAUUUUCAUUGUUCUUGCAUCGGUAAGUGGCUUUCCAUCAAUGCUGCAUAUCCUGCAUGUCCUCUCUGAUAGCACUAAAUGUCUCGGUUCUACAAUCUG